This 690-nucleotide ribosomal RNA is filed under the name Dendropsophus parviceps (Sarayacu treefrog). Its description in RNAcentral is "partial 12S ribosomal RNA". It matches the Rfam family "Bacterial small subunit ribosomal RNA", at positions 33 to 1232 of the family's 1533-position model. The record is from RNAcentral. Lineage: Eukaryota; Metazoa; Chordata; Amphibia; Anura; Hylidae.
CAGCUACUACUUAANUUACACAUGCAAGNUCUCCGCANCCCUGUGAAAACGCCCUCGAAUUUCUUUAAGAAAUGAGGAGCCGGUAUCAGGCCCAAAAAUUAGCCCAAGACACCUAGCUAUGCCACACCCACACGGGAAUUCAGCAGUGAUUAACAUUGAAAAUAAGCGACAGCUUGAAUCAGUUAAAGUAAAAAGAGCCGGCAAAUCUGGUGCCAGCCGCCGCGGUUACACCACGUGACUCAAACUGACCUCUUCCGGCGUAAAGCGUGAUUAAAGCCCNUCUUACCACUGCAAUUAAACCAGAACUGAGCUGUGACACGCCUAUUCCUGAGAACCCCAAAACCGAAAGUCAUUGCAANCCCCUAAACUUGAACUCACGACAGCUAGAAAACAAACUGGGAUUAGAUACCCCACUAUGCCUAGCCGUAAANCCUUUAUUUACCUCCACACCGCCAGGGAACUACGAGCAAAGCUUAAAACCCAAAGGACUUGACGGUACCCCAUAUCCACCUAGAGGAGCCUGUCCUAUAAUCGAUAAUCCCCGCUUAACCUCACCAUUUUUAGCAUAUCAGCCUGUAUACCUCCGUCGUCAGCUUACCACAUGAGCGCCAAUUAGUGAGCUAAAUGCCCCUACGCCAACACGUCAGGUCAAGGUGCAGCAUAUAAAAUGGGAAGAGAUGGGCUACACUG